CGGACGGGUGAGUAAUGUCUGGGAAACGUGCCUGAUGGAGGGGGGUAACUACUGGAAACGGUAGCUAAUACCGCAUAACGUCGCAAGACCAAAGAGGGGGACCUUCGGGCCUCUUGCCAUCGGAUGUGCCCAGAUGGGAUUAGCUAGUAGGUGGGGUAAAGGCUCACCUAGGCGACGAUCCCUAGCUGGUCUGAGAGGAUGACCAGCCACACUGGAACUGAGACACGGUCCAG
This 233-nucleotide ribosomal RNA is filed under the name uncultured bacterium. RNAcentral describes it as "partial 16S ribosomal RNA". It matches the Rfam family "Bacterial small subunit ribosomal RNA", at positions 99 to 334 of the family's 1533-position model. The record is from RNAcentral.